Long non-coding RNA from Panthera uncia (snow leopard), 775 nucleotides. RefSeq lists it as uncharacterized. The record is from RefSeq and is a predicted model, not a curated record. The transcript is spliced from 2 exons. Lineage: Eukaryota; Metazoa; Chordata; Mammalia; Carnivora; Felidae.
UCAACAAGAGAAACAGCAGGCUGGAUCCCAAAAGAGCUGACCUGGGAUUCAGAAGCGGCUAUGGAGCAGGGGGAAGGAAAGCCAGAAAACCGCUACUAGCUCUUAAAACUUAUGCCUGAAAGCGACGUGGGUGACUUCCGCUCACAUUUCAUGGGCCAAAUCGAGUCAUAUGGCAGUGGCCACAUGGACGCCAGGAUGGCAGUGUGUAACGCUGAAUCCUGGGGACAGUGCUACAGUCUUUCAUGGGAGGCUUAGAUAUAGCCGUUGCAUGCUGUCUGAAGUCUGACAAACAAGAUCGUCAGAGGAGCUGUGAAGGAAGCUGCCACGUGGGGAAUUGCAUUUUUCCCCGAAAGAUGACUUCAUCUUGUUCGAUCGCCAUCUUAUGAAAUUCUUUGGCUGUCCAGCAAGUAUCGAUAAGGGAAGCUGUCCAAGCACAUGGCUAUGAGCCACAUUGCCGCAUAAGUCCCUGACACACACCUACCGGCUGGCUGAGGUUUUUUUCCCCCAAUUUCCGUCUCCCUGAUGCCCCAUCCUCCCCCUGUCCCCCCCCCCCACAACGUUUAUUUUUCACCCACUUCAUUCCUUCUUUGAGCUCCAAAAUCCGGAUGACAGUGACUCCUCUGUGGUCACCGAAGAUUUUCAAACUCCUCUCUCAAGAGGCUGGUCAUUUCCACGCAGGGCACUUUCUUACAAUUUGUCCAGCGGAGCCAUGGGGUCUUAGGAGGUCUUUCUGUCUGAGGAGCCGAUUUUCUACCAUAAAUGUGAUUCGCUGAGA